AAUGCUUUAUGCGUCAAAAGGAUUCGUCUGCCCAAGGAUGGGUCUGCGGCCUAUCAGGUAGUAGUGGGUGUAAUGUACCUACUAGCCAGCGACGGGUACGGGUUGUGAGAGCAAGAGCCCGGAGAUGGAUUCUGAGACAUGAAUCCAGGCCCUACGGGGCGCAGCAGGCGCGAAAACUUUACAAUGCGGGAAACCGUGAUAAGGGGACACCGAGUGCCAGCAUCAUAUGCUGGCUGUCCGGAUGUGUAAAAUACAUCCGUUAGCAAGGGCCGGGCAAGACCGGUGCCAGCCGCCGCGGUAACACCGGCGGCCCGAGUGGUGAUCGUGAUUAUUGGGUCUAAAGGGUCCGUAGCCGGUUUGGUCAGUCCUCCGGGAAAUCUGAUAGCUCAACUAUUAGGCUUUCGGGGGAUACUGCCAGACUUGGAACCGGGAGAGGUAAGAGGUACUACAGGGGUAGGAGUGAAAUCUUGUAAUCCCUGUGGGACCACCUGUGGCGAAGGCGUCUUACCAGAACGGGUUCGACGGUGAGGGACGAAAGCUGGGGGCACGAACCGGAUUAGAUACCCCGGGGUAGUCCCAAGCCCGUAAACGAAUGCUCGCUANGGUGUCAGGCAUGGCGCCGACCGUUGUCCUGGGUGCCCGCAAGGGGA
RNAcentral lists this ribosomal RNA (650 nucleotides) under uncultured archaeon Cas19#6. Its description in RNAcentral is "bacterial SSU rRNA". It matches the Rfam family "Archaeal small subunit ribosomal RNA", at positions 174 to 822 of the family's 1478-position model. The record is from RNAcentral.